RNAcentral lists this ribosomal RNA (2822 nucleotides) under human gut metagenome. RNAcentral describes it as "bacterial LSU rRNA". It matches the Rfam family "Bacterial large subunit ribosomal RNA". The record is from RNAcentral.
UCAAGCUACAAAGAGCGUAAGGGGAAUGCCUUGGCACCAGGAGCCGACGAAGGACGCAGCGAUCUGCGAAAAGCCACGGGGAGCCGCAAGCAGGCUUUGAUCCGUGGAUAUCCGAAUGGGGAAACCCGCAUGGUUAAUAGCCAUGCGACGUAUACUGAAUAAAUAGGUAUGCGUCGGGAACCGUCUGAACUGAAACAUCUAAGUAGGACGAGGAAAAGAAAUCAACCGAGAUUCCGUAAGUAGUGGCGAGCGAACACGGAAGAGGCCAAACCGAAGGUAGCAAUAUCUUCGGGGUACGGACAGUAAACGGCAUUGCGGUAUCUUAGCAGAAGUGCAUGGGACGGCACACCAUAGAGAGUGAUAGUCUCGUAAGCGAAAAGAGAAGGCAGCCAACUGUAUCCAGAGUACCGCCGGACACGUGAAACCCGGUGGGAACAUGGGGGGACCAUCCUCCAAGCCUAAAUACUCCCUGGUGACCGAUAGAGAACAGUACUGUGAAGGAAAGGUGAAAAGAACCCCGGGAGGGGAGUGAAAAGAACCUGAAACCUUGUGCUUACAAGCACACAAAGCACGUCAACGUGUGAUGUGGUACCUUUUGUAGAAUGGUCCGGCGAGUGAAUGUAACUGGCGAGGUUAAGUUCUUAAGGAACGGAGCCGAAGCGAAAGCAAGUCUGAAUAGGGCGUCUUAGUCAGUUGUAUUCGACCCGAAACCGGGUGACCUAUCCAUGUCCAGGAUGAAGUUAAGGUAAAACUUGAUGGAGGUCCGAACCCACGGUCGUUGAAAUGCCCGGGGAUGAGAUGUGGAUAGCGGAGAAAUUCCAAUCGAACCCGGAUAUAGCUGGUUCUCUCCGAAAUAGCUUUAGGGCUAGCCUCGACUGAACAUUACCGGAGGUAGAGCACUGAAUGGGCUAGGGGCCGAGAGGUUACUGAACCCUAUCAAACUUCAAAUGCCGGAAAAUGAUAGUCGGGAGUCAGACUGCGUGAGAUAAGUUUCGUAGUCGAAAGGGAAACAGCCCAGACCCACAGCUAAGGUCCCAAAGUACGGUUAAGUGGAAAAGGAUGUGGAGUUGCACAGACAACCAGGAUGUUGGCUUAGAAGCAGCCACUCAUUAAAAGAGUGCGUAAUAGCUCACUGGUCGAGUGACUCUGCGCCGAAAAUUUAACGGGGCUAAAUCGUACACCGAAGCUUGGGAUGCAUCUAUGAUGCAUGGUAGGAGAGCGUUGAAUGCGGGGUGAAGUCAGAGCGAAAGCGCUGGUGGACUGCAUUGAAGUGAGAAUGCCGGAAUGAGUAGCGAGAUUUAUGUGAGAAUCAUAAAGGCCGAAAGACUAAGGUUUCAGAAGGAAGGUUCGUCCGCUUCUGGUUAGCCGGGAGCUAAGGUGAGGCCGAAAGGCGUAGCCGAUGCACAUACGGUGGAGAUUCCGUAGCCGUCGAAAUAUUUAAGCAAAGGGACACUUAUGAAGGACAUGACCCGGGCGAUGGUAGCCCCGGGCGUAAGGGACUGAAAACAAGUAGGGAAGCAUGUUUGGAUUAAGGCGAGAAAAGCUUUGUGUAUAUAUUAGACGUCCGUACCGCAAACCGACACAGGUAGUCAGGAAGAGGAUUCUAAGGCCAACGGGAGAAGGGUAGUUAAGGAACUCGGCAAAUUGACCCCGUAACUUCGGAAUAAGGGGUGCUCACGAGAGUGAGCCGCAGUGAAUAGGUCCAGGCGACUGUUUAUCAAAAACACAGCUCUCUGCUAAAUCGAAAGAUGACGUAUAGGGGGUGACACCUGCCCGGUGCUGGAAGGUUAAGAGGAAGGGUGCAAGCUCUGAAUUGAAGCCCCAGUAAACGGCGGCCGUAACUAUAACGGUCCUAAGGUAGCGAAAUUCCUUGUCGGGUAAGUUCCGACCCGCACGAAUGGCGUAACGACUUGUGAGCUGUCUCAACAGGAGGCCCGGUGAAAUUGAAGUAUGUGUGAAGAUGCACAUUACCCGCGACUGGACGGAAAGACCCCGUAGAGCUUUACUGUAACCUGACAUUGGAUCUUGAUAACGGAUGCACAGGAUAGGUGGACGCUGGGAGGUAUGGACUUUGGUCUGUACGGAGCGGACGUUGGGAUACCACUCUUCUGUUAUUGAGAUUCUAACCUCAAGCCGUAAGCCGGAUGAGAGACAGUGUCAGGCGGACAGUUUGACUGGGGCGGUCGCCUCCGAAAGAGUAACGGAGGCGCCCAAAGGUACCCUCAGAAUGGAUGGAAACCAUUCGAAGAGCGCAAAGGCAGAAGGGUGCCUGACUGCGAGAUUGACAAAUCGAGCAGAGACGAAAGUCGGGCUUAGUGAUCCGGCGGUAUUGAGUGGAAAAGCCGUCGCUUAACGGAUAAAAGCUACCUCGGGGAUAACAGGCUGAUCUCCCCCAAGAGUCCACAUCGACGGGGAGGUUUGGCACCUCGAUGUCGGCUCAUCGCAUCCUGGGGCUGAAUUCGGUCCCAAGGGUUUGGCUGUUCGCCAAUUAAAGCGGCACGCGAGCUGGGUUCAGAACGUCGUGAGACAGUUCGGUCCCUAUCCAUCGUGGGCGAAGGACACAUGAGAGGAGCUGCUCCUAGUACGAGAGGACCGGAGUGGACGCAUCACUGGUGCAACUGUUGUCGUGCCAACGGCACAGCAGGGAAGCGAAAUGCGGAUGGGAUAAACGCUGAAGGCAUCUAAGCGUGAAGCCCACCUCAAGAAUAAGUGUCCCAUUCGAAAGAAGUAAGACCCCUGGAAGACUACCAGGUGAUAGGUCAUCGGUGAAAGAGCGGUAACGUUUGGAGCUUGAUGAUACUAAUCGGUCGAGGACUUGAUCU